CCCCCUUCGGGGGGUACACGAGUGGGGCACGGGUGAGUAACGCGUGGGUAAUCUACCUCCGGGUCUGGGACAACUCCGGGAAACUGGAGCUAAUACCGGAUAAGACCACGGAGUCUUCGGACUCUGCGGACAAAGGUGGCCUCUCCUUGGAAGCUAUCGCCUGUUGAUGUGCCCGCGUCCCAUUAGCUUGUUGGUGAGGUAACGGCUCACCAAGGCCGCGAUGGGUAGCUGGUCUGAGAGGAUGAUCAGCCACACUGGAACUGAGACACGGUCCAGACUCCUACGGGAGGCAGCAGUCGGGAAUUUUGCGCAAUGGGCGGAAGCCUGACGCAGCAACGCCGCGUGAGGGAUGAAGGCCUUCGGGUCGUAAACCUCUGUCGGGAGGGAAGAAAGGCUACCGGUCAAAUAGGCCGGUGACUUGACGGUACCUCCAAAGGAAGCGCCGGCUAACUCCGUGCCAGCAGCCGCGGUAAUACGGAGGGCGCAAGCGUUGUUCGGAAUCAUUGGGCGUAAAGCGCGUGUAGGCGGCUUGGUAAGUCGGAUGUGAAAGCCCGGGGCUCAACCCCGGAACUGCAUUCGAAACUGCCUCGCUAGAGUCCCGGAGAGGAGGGCGGAAUUCCCGGUGUAGAGGUGAAAUUCGUAGAUAUCGGGAGGAACACCAGCGGCGAAGGCGGCCCUCUGGACGGUGACUGACGCUGAGACGCGAAAGCGUGGGGAGCAAACAGGAUUAGAUACCCU
This 738-nucleotide ribosomal RNA is filed under the name uncultured bacterium. RNAcentral describes it as "bacterial SSU rRNA". It matches the Rfam family "Bacterial small subunit ribosomal RNA", at positions 74 to 788 of the family's 1533-position model. The record is from RNAcentral.